GGAGUCUGGGCCGUGUCUCAGUCCCAGUGUGGCCGAUCACCCUCUCAGGUCGGCUAUGUAUCGUCGCCUUGGUGAGCCGUUACCUCACCAACUAGCUAAUACAACGCAGGUCCAUCUACUAGUGAAGCAAUUGCUCCUUUCAAGCAUCUAACAUGGGUUAAAUGCUGUUAUGCGGUAUUAGCUAUCGUUUCCAAUAGUUAUCCCCCGCUAGUAGGCAGGUUACCUACGCGUUACUCACCCGUUCGCCGCUAGGUAUUGCUACCUCGCUCGACUUGCAUGUAUAAGACACGCCACCAGCGUUCGUU
This 305-nucleotide ribosomal RNA is filed under the name Streptococcus lutetiensis. Its description in RNAcentral is "partial 16S ribosomal RNA". Lineage: Bacteria; Bacillati; Bacillota; Bacilli; Lactobacillales; Streptococcaceae. The record is from RNAcentral.